GCUGGGUGCAGUGGCUCACGCCUGUAAUCCCAGCACUUUGGGAGGCUGAGGUGGGUGGAUCACCUGAGGUCAGGAGUUCAAGACCAGCCUGACCAACAUGGUGAAACCCCAUCUCUA
This 117-nucleotide non-coding RNA is filed under the name Gorilla gorilla gorilla (western lowland gorilla). The record is from Rfam by way of RNAcentral. Lineage: Eukaryota; Metazoa; Chordata; Mammalia; Primates; Hominidae.